RNAcentral lists this long non-coding RNA (1229 nucleotides) under Amborella trichopoda. RNAcentral's name for it is "long non-coding RNA (ATRI_LNC004486)". The record is from RNAcentral. Lineage: Eukaryota; Viridiplantae; Streptophyta; Magnoliopsida; Amborellales; Amborellaceae.
UCGCAAAGAUUUUCAGUAUUGAAACCAUAUUUCUCGACAUUAUUUGAAGGUGCACUUUACUUUGAUUGUUCAGAGCCUCGACUCUAUAUAAACUGCACCCUAUAUCUUUUUUUUUAUAAAUGUGGUUUAUAAAGGGAAAAAUUGUUUCAUGCGAGGCUAGAUGUCAUUUCUACAUGUGCAGUCUAGAAGUAUAAACCAUCCAUCUUAAAGAUGGAUGCAAAUAUGUGGUCCAUCUAAAAACACUUUAAAUUAAUGGUCCAAAUGUUUUCUUCAUAUAAUUAUUAUUUAUAGUUUCUAAUUUUUUUUGUUUUUUUUUCAUAUUCAUGAUCUCCAUGUUAGAGAUUACAUAUCCUUAAAAAUUAUGUCCAAAAAUCCAUUCUUAAUAAUAGAUUUAUUAAGGGGCCCGCAUUUCUACAUGUGUGGGCUUGGCCUGCAUGCUAAUCUCAUCCUUGUAAUAUUGUAACCUUAAUCAAUCAAAUUAAGGUGUCCUUCCAAAUUUUAUCUUAAAUACAAUUUUAGUGUUAAAAAAUCUUGAUAUGACUUGAGAAUCUACUUUUAUCUCUAAUUAUAAAAUUUUAAACUCCAAAAACAAUUCAAAUCAAAUAGACCUGAAAAUUGACAGUACAGAUAAUGUGUUGCAAGAUAUAUUAUUUUCGAGACUCAAAAUAUUUUUUUUUCUUUUCAUAUUUUGAUGUUGAGAUGAUCAAUUAGAGGAUUUUCCAACAUCAAAAUAACUCUUAUGAUAGAUUUUUUAGAUGCAUCUUAAUUCUACAUUUUAAAGUUGCAAGCUUAUAUAAACUUUUUCCUUUUUAUUGUUGGAAAAUACAUGACAUAUCAUUUUAUCGUGGAGCAUCUUAGAUAUCUCUUUCAUGCAUGACAUAUUGAUCUCAUAUCACUUAAAAAUAAACGAACUGUUCAAACUUGUUUGUCUACAUACCCCAAACAUUAUAUGGUCAAUCAAAUACAUGUACUAAAAACUUCCUCAAUUCAUAAUUCAAUAAGGUAAUCAACCACGUGUACUCUAAAUUUCAUUAACAUUCCAGUAGGUUAUACAGUUAUUCAGAACUUCCUUAAAAAUCCCAAAAAAUAAUGUUCAUUUCUCAACAAAGAAGAACUUGUUUCCAAAUAACAUUUAUCUUUUAGUCAAAUAAACAUCCCUUAUAUAUAUAUAUAGCCGAUCAAUCAUAGCAAAUAAACAUUCCAGAUUCAAUCAUAGCCGAUCUGACAGU